RNAcentral lists this ribosomal RNA (274 nucleotides) under uncultured bacterium. Its description in RNAcentral is "partial 16S ribosomal RNA". It matches the Rfam family "Bacterial small subunit ribosomal RNA", at positions 523 to 796 of the family's 1533-position model. The record is from RNAcentral.
AUACGGAGGUUGCAAGCGUUAUUCGGAAUCACUUGGCGUAAAGGACGCGUAGGCGGGUUGGCAAGUCAGAUGUGAAAUCCUACAGCUUAACUGUAGAACUGCAUUUGAAACUGCUAACCUAGAGUAUGGGAGGGGGAGAUGGAAUUAGUGGUGUAGGGGUAAAAUCCGUAGAUAUCACUAGGAAUACCGAAAGCGAAGGCGAUCUCCUGGAACAUAACUGACGCUAAGGCGUGAAAGCGUGGGGAGCAAACAGGAUUAGAUACCCUAGUAGUCC